CACACACAUCUACAUACAGGAUCAGGUUGAAAUAGAUAAAACAAUGGUGUAUGUACAUGUUUUGGUUUUCUCCACUUAUGAGUCACUCAGUUCAAUAUCAAUCUGUCAUGCUAAAAAAGGGCUGAGUUGCAAAAUCGUACAGGAAAUAUGGUGCAUCACAAUAUCACUUUACAGCAUCGCAUGUGUAAUGGCUUGAACAUUGCUUCAAGUGGUCCAGAGAGAUCACUCUCAGCCAGGGGAGUAGCCAGGAGUUAAUUUCAAGAGGCGGGUGGAAAUGUACUAUACAACAUUAUAUUGUGAAAUGUGACAUGCUCAUGCUUUUUGGGUGGAUGCCGGACAGUAGGAGUAGGGGAAGCAUGCAUGAUUCUGAUUGGUUAAAUCUGGUGCUCGCAAUAGCAUUAAAAUGUUAAUAAACAAACUCAGGCUAUUUGAGUAUGAAAUUGUAAUGGAAUCUUUUAUGAACAUCAUUACAUACAACAUAACUUGAUGCGUAUAUAUAUUCAGUUAUAAGCACCCACAAGUAAGCAUUUGGAACUGAUAUAAAAUAUUUCAGGGGGGUUCAAACCCAAAAUCCAGCCCUCUAGCGACGCCUCAGCUCUCAGUCAACAUCAGUUUAUUAAAAGCACUGCUUUCUCUCUUUUAUACCUGUUUUUUCUUAACAAAAGGAGGCUUAGGCUACUUAUGCAUGUGAUUUGUGAGAUCAAAUCGUAGCCAGGUGUCUGAAAGAGAGCAUUACUGUCCGGCUCGCUGUGUGGGAACGACAGCCUUUCUCCCUCGACCUGUCAAUCAGUGUGACAUGAGGAAACUUGUUCAACUUCACCCUCUCUGAAUGGUAGCUGUGAGACUGGCUAUGACUGAACUGGAGAAGAAAAUUCCCGUUUUUCCAGUUCCCGUUAUUCAUGUUCCUGUUUUACAUGUUAUAGAACAGAGAUUGAUUAAUGGCACAUGUCAUUACGUCCCCACACCACGCCAUCCGACGUUCCCUCCAGAAUUUCGAAAUACAGUUCGUCUUCGUUAUGGUACCGUAUACAGUUUUGGGUGUUUUUUAUUUAAAAUUUUACAAAAGCUUCAAGUGCAGUUAAUUAUUUGUCAUGCUAUACGUGCAAUUGGACGACUGCUUGAAGCCGUGGGCUGCGUCCAAAACCACGUACUUACCUGCUAUAUAGUAGCUGAGAUACAUGUAUUUCACCUACUAUAUGCAUGUAUUUCACCUACUAUUUAGUAGGUGAAAUACUUGUAUAUAGUAGGUGAAAUACUUGUAUAUAGCAGGUGAAAUACAUGUAUAUAGUAGGUGAAAUACAAGUUUUUUGGCUACGAUAUAGUAGGUGAAAUACUUGUAUAUAGUAGAAUAAGUGUAUAUAGUAGGUAAAAUACAUGAAUAUAGUAGGUGAAAUACAUGUAUAUAGUAGGUGAAAUACAUGUAAGUAGUAGGUGAAAUACAUGUAUAUAGUAGAAUACGUGUAUAUAGUAGGUGAAAUACACAUGUUUUGGCUACUAUAUAGUAGGUGAAAUACAUGUAUGUAGUACAAUACGUGUAUAUAGUAGGUGAAAUACUUGUACAUAGUAGGUGAAAUACAUGUAUAUAGUAGAAUACGUGUAUAUAGUUGGUGAAAUACUUGUAUAUAUUAGGUGAAAUACACGUAUUUCGGCUACAAUAUAGUAGAUGAAAUACAUGUAUAUGGUAGAAUACAUGUAUAUAGUAGGUGAAAUACAUGUAUAUAGUAGAAUACGUGUAUAUAGUAGGUGAAAGACAUGUAUAUAGUAGGUGAAAUACGUGUAUAUAGUUGGUGAAAUACUUGUAUAUAUUAGGUGAAAUACACGUAUUUCGGCUACAAUAUAGUAGGUGAAAUACAUGUAUAUGGUAGAAUACAUGUAUAUAGUAGGUGAAAUACAUGUAUAUAGUGGAAUACGUGUAUAUAGUAGGUGAAAUACACGUUUUUUGGUUACGAUAUAGUAGGUGAAAUACAUGUAUAUAGUAGAAUAUGUGUAUAUAGUAGGUGAAAGACAUGUAUAUAGUAGGUGAAAUACACGUAUUUCGGCUACGAUAUAGUAGGUGAAAUACAUGUAUAUAGUAGAAUACAUGUAUAUAGUAGGUACAAUACAUGUAUAUAGUAGAAUAUGUGUAUAUAGUAGGUACAAUACAUGUAUAUAGUAGAAUAUGUGUAUAUAGUAGGUGAAAGACAUGUAUAUAGUAGGUGAAAUACACGUAUUUCGGCUACGAUAUAGUAGGUGAAAUACAUGUAUAUAGUAGAAUACAUAUAUAUAGUAGGUAAAAUACAUGUAUAUAGUAGAAUACGUGUAUAUAGUAGAAUACGUGUAUAUAGUAGGUGAAAUACAUGUAUUUCGGCUACGAUAUAGUAGAUGAAAUACAUGUAUAUGGUAGAAUACAUGUAUAUAGUAGGUGAAAUACAUGUAUAUAGUAGAAUACGUGUAUAUAGUAGGUGAAAUACAUGUAUAUAGUAGGUGAAACACACGUAUUUCAGCUACGAUAUAGUAGGUGAAAUACAUGUAUAUGGUAGAAUAUAUGUAUAUAGUAGGUGAAAUACAUGUAUAUAGUUUUUGAAAUACUUGUAUAUAUUAGGUGAAAUACACGUAUUUCGGCUACAAUAUAGUAGGUGAAAUACAUGUAUACAGUAGGUGAAAUACAUGUAUAUAGUAGGUGAAAUACACGUAUAUAGUAGAAUACAUGUAUAUAGUAGGUGAAAUACAUGUAAGUAAUGGGUGAAAUACAUGUAUAUAGUAGGUGAAAUACAUGUAUAUAGUAGGUGAAACACAUGUAUAUAGUAGGUGAAAUACAUGUAUAUAGUAGAAUACAUGUAUAUAGUAGGUGAAAGACAUGUAUAUAGCAGGUGAAAUACAUGUAUAUAGUAGGUGAAAUACAUGUAUAUAGUGGAAUACGUGUAUAUAGUAGGUGAAACACACGUAUUUCAGCUACGAUAUAGUAGGUGAAAUACAUGUAUAUGGUAGAAUACAUGUAUAUAAUAUGUGAAAUACAUGUAUGUAGUAGGUGAAAUACUUGUAUAUAGUAGGUAAAAUACAUGUAUAUAGUGGAAUACGUGUAUAUAGUAGGUGAAAUACAUGUAUAUAGUAGGUGAAACACACGUAUUUCGGCUACGAUAUAGUAGGUGAAAUACAUGUAUAUGGUAGAAUACAUGUAUAUAGUAGGUGAAAUACUUGUAUAUAGUAGGUCAAAUACUUGUAUAUAGUAGAAUACGUGUAUAUAGUAGGUGAAAUACAUGUAUAUAGUAGGUGAAAUACAUGUAAGUAAUAGGUGAAAUACAUGUAUAUAGUAGGUGAAACACACGUAUUUCAGCUACGAUAUAGUAGGUGAAAUACAUGUAUAUAGUAGGUGAAAUACAUGUAUAUGGUAGAAUACGUGUAUAUAGUAUGUGAAAUACAUGUAUAUAGUAGGUGAAAAACUUGUAUAUAGUAGAAUACGUGUAUAUAGUAGGUGAAAUACAUGUAUAUAGUAGGUGAAAUACACGUAUUUCGGCUACGAUAUAGUAGGUGAAAUACAUGUAUAUAGUAGAAUACAUGUAUAUAGUAGGUGAAAUACAUGUAUAUAGUAGGUGAAAUACUUGUAUAUUAGGUGAAAUACUUGUAUAUGCAAGCAUUUCACUUGCUAUAUACAAGUAUCUCGUCAGCAAAAACUUCCCCAUAUCAACAGAUACACGUUCUGUAAAGCCGUUUAUGUGGAGUGUCUAGCCUACAAAUCCCUGCGCAGAUUGUAUCUAAAGAAACAGUGACAAUCUACAGCAAUAAUAUAAACCUGUAAUUUGCCUUGUAGCCCGAGCUACUGUCAAAGCUGCGGUUAUAGAAAAUAAAUCUCAACACCUUCCGACCAAUCGGAUUUGAGAUUUCGACAGGGCUAUAAUAAUGUAAUAAUAAUCAGGUUUCGUCGUGUGUCUUAGUAAUGAUAUAUCGACUCAGCCCUAGUUCGGUUUUCCGUUUUCGUUUAAUGCUCUUAGCAUACCAGUGUGGUUCAUUAUAAUGUGCCAUCCAAACACUGUCAUAAAGUUUUUGGCUAUGGAUGGCUCACAGCACUGGGAAGUGAUGUGUAUGUGUGUGUGUGUGUAUGUGUGUGUGUGUGUGUGUUAAUUAGAGGUCGUGCAGGGAGAGAGGCUUGAGAUUCCACACACUCAAGGCCUCUGAAUCAAACAACCUGGUGCUUUUUGGUGGUUUUUUUUGCACUUUCAUGCCAACUGGUAUCAAUCCAGCACCAGUGGAGCAAAAUGCUCAGGAC
Long non-coding RNA from Ictalurus punctatus (channel catfish), 4243 nucleotides. The record is from Ensembl. Lineage: Eukaryota; Metazoa; Chordata; Actinopteri; Siluriformes; Ictaluridae.